Molecule: ribosomal RNA, 446 nt
Filed under: uncultured bacterium
Lineage: Bacteria
Description: partial 16S ribosomal RNA
Rfam family: Bacterial small subunit ribosomal RNA
Source: RNAcentral
CCUACGGGUGGCUGCAGUCGAGAAUCAUUCACAAUGGGGGAAACCCUGAUGGGGCGACGCCGCGUGGGGGAAUGAAGGUCUUCGGAUUGUAAACCCCUGUCAUGUGGGAGCAAAUUAAAAAGAUAGUACCACAAGAGGAAGAGACGGCUAACUCUGUGCCAGCAGCCGCGGUAAUACAGAGGUCUCAAGCGUUGUUCGGAAUCACUGGGCGUAAGGCGUGCGUAGGCUGUUUCGUAAGUCGUGUGUGAAAGGCGCGGGCUCAACCCGCGGACGGCACUUGAUACUGCGAGACUAGAGUAAUGGAGGGGGAACCGGAAUUCUCGGUGUAGCAGUGAAAUGCGUAGAUAUCGAGAGGAACACUCGUGGCGAAGGCGGGUUCCUGGACAUUAACUGACGCUGAGGCACGAAGGCCAGGGGAGCGAAAGGGAUUAGAUACCCGGGUAGUC